UGCAGGGGUGCGAGGCUGUGUGAGACUGCAUGUGCGGGUGUGUGGGGGGGUGUGUGUGGGGUGUGUGUGAGACUGCAGGUGUGCAGGGGUGCGAGGCUGUGUGAGACUGCGUGUGCGGGUGUGUGGGGGGGUGUGUGUGGGGUGUGUGUGAGACUGCAGGUGUGCAGGGGUGCGAGGCUGUGUGAGACUGCGUGUGCAGGUGUGUGUGGAGGGCUGUGGGGAGCUGUGUGUGUGGGGUGUGUGUGUGUGAGGCUGUGGGGGGCUGUGUGUGGGGUGUAUGUGUGUGAGGCUGUGUGUGUGUGAGGCUGUGUGUGGGGGAUGUGAGGCUGUGUGUGUGCGGGGGGGACUGUGUGUGUCAGAUGAUGUCCCUGGCUGUGUGUGGGGAUGUGUGUGUGUGGGUGUGUGUGGGGUGUGUGUGUGUGUGUCGGAUGAUGUCCCCAGCUCCAGGGGCUGUAGGAUUCUGUGCAGACUCACAGCAACGCCACCCUCACUGCCCUGACACCUGCUGUGAUACUGAGGUGAGGCCCCUUGGCGCCUGGACGUGUCAAAUCCUGGGCCUUAGUGUGUGGCCAUGGUGCCUCCAAGAACUGCAGGGCCCCAGGAGGAGCUGGGGCUGGGAAACAAGGGGAGGGAGACCUUACCUUGUCCCUCAAGACUGCAGUUUGCGGCCAAGGCCUCGCACUCUCUGUGCAUCGAACACCAGCAUGCAGUAGGCUCGGUGCCCAGGCUGACGCUGGCCCAGCGGUGAGCACAUGCGCAAAACCAUGCAUGGGGCCAGGCACACAGCUGAGGCCGGGACCAAGGGCUGCAGAAGAAACACAGCACAGCCCUGCACUGAUUGCGAACAAGCUCUAGGGGGGACGGCAGUAGAUACGGAUGCUGCGAUUCAUAUAUAAAGGGAGGAAACAUAAAUACGGUGCAUGCACAUUUUCUAGUUUAUUCAUAAAAUGUCUCCCGACGGAAUCACAGAAAACUUAAAAUCAGCUGCCUCCAGGCAGGGAGCCAGCCUGAAGACACUUUCCUCUGAGUUUUGAAAUAGGUGAGCACACUAGCUAUUCGAAACACCAAUACAUAAAAUGCAAAGGCCCAAAAAACUCCUUUCUCAGGCCUUUGCAGUGGAAUAAAAACACUAUAAAAGCAGGAAAUUUAGUUGUGAUUCUUCCCUAGACUGCCCCACCACAGGGACUGCAUUUGCAGCUGUGUGGCAAAGCUAUUUCCUCUCCUUAUUUAAUGUGACAAAUACGUCUGCUACCCAAAUCUCUCAAGUGCACAGGCUCAGGAGCACAUUCCAUCGCCUACCCCCGGGGGACCCAGCUAUGGAAGUGUCUCAACCCUUCCCUGCGUGCACCCGGUUCCAUCCUCCUUGGCCCCCAGGGACGGCGGCCCUUCACCUGCAGACCUCAGCCUCACCCUGUAUAAAGCUCAGUCUUCCUCUGCUGCUACAAGAACCCACUGCAGAUGCAGCAUCAGCCAGGAUGCUUCCACAUCCCCCCGCGGGACUUGGGGACCUGGGUGAAUGAGGAACACGCGGAAGCUCACGUAGCUUGCUGUGCCGUGAGUCGUAAGCCCUUUGUCUCCGCCUCCGGGGUCUCAUGUCUUCUUCCAGGGUCCGCGAAACAGAAACGAGUUGUUAGCUUGCAAGGGGUAAAAUCAAAUCCCCCACACUCGUGUAUUGGGAGGAUGAAAACCUAGAUGUGGAAUUGCUCAGCCAAAGCACGGGCAUUUGUAAUUUCAAUAGUUGUUCCCAAACCUCCCAGCAUUAGGGUUAGAGUUCCACAUCAGUUCCUCCUCCCCAUGCCCCAGCACAUAGUGUAUUUCAGAUAUUGGUGAUUUUAAUUUGCAUUCUUGUAUCAUAAGUGGGGUUUAAGAGCGAUUUGCAUUUCCUUUUCUGUGAACCGUAUUUACAUCUUUUACUCAUUUUUCUAGUAGAUUGUUUAUGUUUUGUGCCUCUUGAUUUGUAAGAGCUUGGAAACUAGGGAAAUUAAUUUUUGAAUGGCUUUCAAAUACUUUGCCCCAGUUUUGAUUUUAUAUAUAGUGUUCUUUGCCAUGCAGAAAAAAUUAAAUUUGUAUGAGUUGAAUUUGUCAAUCUUUACUUCUGUGACUAAUUUUACAUCACGAUUAGGAAGAUCUCCCCUACUUCAAGUUUAUAGGAGAAUAUUCUCAUUAGUUCUUCGAAUACAUUCCUUAAAAUAUAUGUAUUUAUGUUUAAAACUUUUAAGCACUUGGGGAAGAAAGAGGAAAAAAGAGAGAAAAAAGAAAACCAGUUGUGACUUGAGGGGCAAUGAAAGACAGUGAAUGACUUGAAUAGUCGUGAAAUGUUUUCCAACUCAGACACACACCCCCACUGCACGCACACACUAGGCAAGGUGAUGGAGGCUGGCAUGUCCCAGCAUGGGCAUCUCUGAAGGCUGCCAUGUCUUUCUUCAUGGAGGGGCUGCUGGCACGUGCAGGGGUCCUGGGAACCCCUCUAGGGACCCGCUCUGGGAAACUGGAGGCCAAAACACUGUUUUGACGUUGAGUAUGGGCGCCCAUCCUGCACCCCCUCCUGGGGUGGGGGCCCCCUCUGCUCUGGCCGUCCCAGCUGUGGCCCUUGAUGCACCUGAGGGCCAUGUUCAGCGCUCUGGUCUGGCCAGCUCCUCUGCGGUGAUGGGGGAUGGGUCUGUGUGUGCCCCAAAUUUUGUCUGGAAGGGGUGGCUGGUAAAGGCUGUGGAGCGUGCCAUCGGAGGUGGAGUUGGUCUAGAGCCUGCCCCUGAGAGGCCCCCACAAGCACUGAGUGCAGGGGGCAGCUGAUGUGGGGGAAGCCGGGCGGCCGGCUGGGACAGCCCUCCCCUUGGCAGUGCCCUUGACUCCCGCCCAGCCUCGGUAUCCUUUGGGUGACGUGGGUGAUCCUGAACCCACAGCGCUCUCCCAGGAGUGAAUGUCCUGUGCCACCAGCAGCCUGUUUGAUGCUCCUUGUCUUCUGGGAUUCCCCGGAGUCCUCAGCAGGGGCAGUGCCUUCAGCUCAUGACACUGUGGAAGCCACAGGGAUUCCCCCCCCUUUUUUUUGCGUUUUGAUGUUUAUUGAGUAUAAUUGAAGUACACGUAUUUCAGCUGAACUGCAUGUUUAAGGUGUGCAGUGGGUCCGUUUUGACAUUUGUGUACAUCCGUGAAGCCAUCACCAAAAUCGAGAGAAAGUGUUUCCAUCACUCCACGAGCUUCUUUGUGGCCCCUCGUAAUUCCUCCCUCUAGCCCCGCCCCAGGCAACCUCUGAUCUGUUUCCUGUCACUGUAGAUGGUUUGCUUGUCCUGGCAUUUUGUGCAAAUGGGAUCACACAGCAUUUUGUCUGUCUGCACUUGGCAUAAAGGUUCUGAGAUUCAUCCAUGUUUCUAGCACCAGCCAUUUGUUCUCUUUUAUUGCUGCAAAGUGUUCUAUUGUAUGGGUAGACCAAGUCUGUUUAUUUACCUGUGGAUGGAAGUUCAGGUUGUUCUCCAUUUUAGACUGUUACAAAUAAAGCUACCAUGAACAUUUUUGUACAAGUCUGUAUGUUUUUAUUUCUCUUGGAUAAAUACCUAGGAGUGCAGUUGCUGGGUGACACUGCAGGUGCAUAUUUAACUGUUUCCAAAGCAGUGGUGUCAUUUCCCAUUCCCAGAAACUGUGCGUGAGAAUCCCAGUUUCUCUGCAUCCCCGCCGGUGCAUGGUGUGCUCAGCCUUCUUGGUCACUUCUUGGUUUUGACCAUCCUCAUGGGUUGGUGGUAUCUCAUCAGAGUUUUAAUGUGCAUUUCCCUAGUGACUAAUGGUGUUGAGGAUAUCUUUAUGUGCUUCUUCACCAUCCAUAUAUCUUGUCUGGUGGUGUCUGUUUAAAUAAUUGCCCAUGUUCUUAUUGGCUUGUUUUCUUAUUACUGAGUUGUAAGAGUUCUUUACAUAUUCUGGAUAUAAACCGUUGUUGUGAAUAUUUUCUUCCAACUUAAGGCUUAUCUUUUCAAUUUUCUUAAUAUUGACUUUCAAAAGACAUUUGAAAACCUUUUGGCCAGGCACGGUGGCUCAGGCUUGUAAUCCCAGCACUUUGGGAGGCCGAGGCGGGAGGAUCACGAGGUCAGGAGAUCGAGACCAUCCUGGCUAACACAGUGAAACCCCAUCUCCACUAAAAAUACAAAAAAAAAUUAGCCAGGCGUGGUGGCGGGCGCCUGUAGUCCCAGCUACUCCGGAGGCUGAGGCAGGAGAAUGGCGUGAACCCCAGAGGCGGAGCUUGCAGUGAGCCAAGAUCACGCCACUGCACUCCAGCCUGGGCAACAGAGUGAGACUCCGUCUCAAAAAAAAAAAAAGAAAAGAAAACCUUUUGAUGAAGACCAACUUGUGAGCUUUUUGUCUUUUUGUGUUCUAAGAGUCCUGUGACUACCCACAAGGUCUGAAGGAUUUUUGCACAUUUUCUUGUAAAGUUUUACAGUAGUUUAAAGCACCUUGAAGUCUAUACUCCUUUUUUGAGUUAAUUUUUGGGUAUUACAUGAGGGUAGAGCUGGUGUCCAUUUGUUUUCUUGGAUAUACGGUUGAUCCAACACCAUUUAUUGAAAAGAUUUUCCUUUCCCUAUUGAAUUGCCUUAGUAUCUUUGUGAAGUAAAUUGUCCAAUGAAGACCCAAGGAAAACCAGUCUGUCUAUUUCUAGACUCACACCAUUCUUUUCUAUUCAUUUAUACUUCUAUGUUUUCUCUAGUAACCAAAUCAUCUUUAAUAUUGUAGCUUUAGAGAGGGCUUAAACUCAGUAGUGUAGGUCCCCAGCUGUGCCCUUCUCUUUAAUUGGCUAUUCUAGGUCCUUUGCAUUUCCAUGUAAAUUUUAGAAUCAGCUUGUCAAUUUCUGUAGAAAUUCCUGUUGGGAUUUUAAUAUGAUUACAUUGAAUCUAUAGAUCAGUUUUGGGGAGAAUUGCCAUCUUAACAAUAUUGAAUCAUUCCAAUCAAAGAACAUUGUAUAUCUUUCUGCAUAUUUGUUCUUUACAUUUUUCUCAGCUCUGGUUUGAGUGUCUUUUGUUAGAUUUGUUCACAGGCAUUGCAUAUUUUGGGGCCUCUCUUUCCACCUGAGCUGGCUUGGGGCUCCUCCGACACCUGUUUCUGUGCUGAUGGGCAUUGGUGAAUCCUCCUGCAAGUCUCCUCUGCCCUGGAGUGAACUGGAGCUUCUCCUGCACGCCCUCAGGGCUUCUAGACUUCUCGUAUCCUGUCUGUGGUCUGCAUCCUCCUGGCUGUCCUCUCCCCACUGCCCACUAGGUGCUCCCCUUGUUUUCUGGGGAGGUCUUGGGUGUCCUUCACUGACAGGUGGGCCCCUCUAGCCAGGAGAUGCCAGUGCACAUGAAAGCAGGUCCAGGUCAUCCCCAGUUCUCCCGCCUAUUUACAUCUUGGCUAGCAGCUUGAGUAAUUUUUGGUGGGUGCGACAUUAAAAAAAAAAAAAAAAAAAAAAACCAGAACGUGGAAAGAUAACCAAAGAUAAGACAGAAUGGGAGAAAAUAAAUACAAAUCAUAUACUCAAUAAGGACCUGGUAUCCAGAGUAGUUAAAUAAUCCUUACAACUCAAAAACAAAA
Long non-coding RNA from Pongo pygmaeus (Bornean orangutan), 5544 nucleotides. RefSeq lists it as uncharacterized. Lineage: Eukaryota; Metazoa; Chordata; Mammalia; Primates; Hominidae. The record is from RefSeq and is a predicted model, not a curated record. The transcript has 2 exons.